Molecule: unclassified non-coding RNA, 400 nt
Filed under: soil metagenome
Description: partial contains 5.8S ribosomal RNA, internal transcribed spacer 2, and large subunit ribosomal RNA
Rfam family: 5.8S ribosomal RNA (bases 1-122)
Source: RNAcentral
GAUGAAGAACGCAGUGAAAUGCGAUACUUGGUGUGAAUUGCAGAAUCCCGUGAACCAUCGAGUCUUUGAACGCAAGUUGCGCCUCAAGCCAUUAGGUUGAGGGCACGUCUGCCUGGGCGUCACAUAUCGUUGCCUGAUGCCAGUUUGCUCGUGAUGGGUGACUGUGCAGGGCGAAUGAUGGCUUCCCGUGAGCAUUGUUGCCUCAUGGUUGGUUGAAAAUUGAGUCCUUGGUAGGGAGCGCCGUGAUAGAUGGUGGUUGAGUGACGAACGAGACCCAAUCAUGUGAGACCCCUACCGAAUUUGGCCUUCAUGACCCACAUGCGUCUUUGGAACGCUCAUGACGAGACCUCAGGUCAGGCGGGGCUACCCGCUGAGUUUAAGCAUAUCAAUAAGCGGAGGA